UCCGUAGGCGGUGCGGCAAGUCGGAAGUGAAAUCUCAGGGCUUAACCCUGAGGCUGCUUCCGAAACUGCCGUGCUCGAGUGCGAGAGAGGCGAGUGGAAUUGCAGGUGUAGCGGUGAAAUGCGUAGAUAUCUGCAGGAACAUCCGAGGCGAAAGCGGCUCGCUGGAUCGCAACUGACGCUGAGGGACGAAAGCUAGGGGAGCAAACAGGAUUAGAUACCCUGGUAGUCCUAGUCCUAAACGAUCAGGACUGGGCGUGGGCCUCGUACGGGGCUCGUGCCGCAGCUAACGCGUUAAGUCCUGCGCCUGGGGAGUACGGUCGCAAGGCUGAA
RNAcentral lists this ribosomal RNA (330 nucleotides) under uncultured bacterium. Its description in RNAcentral is "bacterial SSU rRNA". It matches the Rfam family "Bacterial small subunit ribosomal RNA", at positions 568 to 898 of the family's 1533-position model. The record is from RNAcentral.